Molecule: unclassified non-coding RNA, 391 nt
Filed under: soil metagenome
Description: partial contains 5.8S ribosomal RNA, internal transcribed spacer 2, and large subunit ribosomal RNA
Rfam family: 5.8S ribosomal RNA (bases 1-122)
Source: RNAcentral
GAUGAAGAACGCAGCGAAAUGCGAUACUUGGUGUGAAUUGCAGAAUCCCGUGAACCAUCGAGUCUUUGAACGCAAGUUGCGCCCGAAGCCAUUAGGCCGAGGGCACGCCUGCCUGGGUGUCACACGUCGUUGCCCCCCCAUCUACUCCUUCGGGAUUGCGGGGGGCGGAUGAUGGCCUCCCGUGCGCCUCGUCGCGCGGUUGGCAUAAAUGCCAAGUCCUCGGCGACGCACGCUACGACAAUCGGUGGUUGCGAAACCUCGGUUGCCCGUCGUGUGCGGUCGUCGUGCAUCGAGGGCUCGAAAAAAUUGCCGGGCUCCGGCUCGGCUUUCAACGCGACCCCAGGUCAGGCGGGGUUACCCGCUGAAUUUAAGCAUAUCAAUAAGCGGAGGA